This 348-nucleotide ribosomal RNA is filed under the name uncultured bacterium. RNAcentral's name for it is "bacterial SSU rRNA". It matches the Rfam family "Bacterial small subunit ribosomal RNA", at positions 1 to 334 of the family's 1533-position model. The record is from RNAcentral.
CGAGUGCGUUCAGAGUUGAUCCUGGCUCAGAGAACGCUGGCGGCGUGCCUAAUACAUGCAAGUCGAGCGAAGAGUUAAUGGUGCUUGCACCAAUAACACUUAGCGGCGAACGGGUGAGUAACACGUAAAGAACCUGCCUCAUAGACUGGGACAACUACUGGAAACGGUAGCUAAUACCGGAUAAUAUUUAAAAUCGCAUGGGGAUAAAUUAAAAGUCGGUGCAAGCUGACACUAUGAGAUGGCUUUGCGGUGCAUUAGCUAGUUGGUAGGGUAAAGGCCUACCAAGGCGACGAUGCAUAGCCGACCUGAGAGGGUGAUCGGCCACACCGGGACUGAGACACGGCCCAG